UUGAUGCCACCCACCAAAAACUCCAAGAAGUGGAAACCUGAGCCUUCCCUUCCCGCCCCGUUCACCUCCCUCUACUACAGGCUCCAGUCUCAUUCCAGUUUCUCUGAAACCUUCAUUUAGAAUAGAUAAACUUUUAUUGGUCAUCCUGUCGUGUUUCUCUUCCUGUGUCUUCAUCUGGACCGGAGCUGGUAAUCAGACGGCAGCAGGUUGAGCUGGACGCCGUCUGUCUCUGUUCUGUGUUUAUCGCCUGAUCGCUGUGAGGAUGGAGAGAAAGAAGAGAAGAUGACAGAGGAAGAAUCAGGGAAUCAGCGGAGAAUGCCACAGACAAGGGGUUAAGGAGACAGACGUGAGGUCAGUGAUAGAAGAGACAAGUGAUGACAUCAGUGCAGGCAGACUUGGUGAGUCAACCACCACAAAGGAGAAUGCGGAACAGAAAGGUGCAGAUGAGGGAGAGAAGCAGAGAGGACCAGAUGAUGAUGAAGAGGAGCAGAGAGCUGCAGAGGAGAGGGCUGAGGCAAGGCUUUAUUCAGAGGAUCCAUCUGAAUGGCCUUUACCACACAAAACGGGGGACACAUUUAGGCAGUACAUGGUUGAAAGUGGCCCACAGGAAGUUUCUGAUGGCCCAUAUCCAAGAUCAGAGAAGAGUAAGAGGUGUUUUUCCAAAGCAUACUGUUUUCGUUUGCGGUCUAAUGGAGAGAACGUUGAACGAGAUUGGUGGCGGGUUGUAAUAACUGGCGAUGUCUUUCAAAAACACUGAAGCGCCAUGAAACCAGUAGUUCUCACAUGAACGCUUAUAUGAUGUGGAAAGAAAUGGCAUCUCGCUUACGCCUAGGUAAAACUAUUGAUAGUGAACUUCUUAUUGAAAUUAUCACCUGAUAUAACAUGUACCAUAAAAGAAAUUCCAUAAUAUGACUGCUGUAUUUUGUAAGUGCAUAACUAAGGGAGGAAAGCUGUAUGAAAUGGGUGGCGGGGGGCGCCGAUGAUGUGUUCGCAUGCACCUCAAAAAUAUGUAGUUGCGCCCCUGGUAAUUACAUUCCAGAUAGUCAGAGGAAACUGAUUACAUCUUAAAACUGCCUGCCAUAUCCGUGGCUGGUUGGUCUGAUGGCUCAGAUUUGGGGAUUUGUGGGAGCAGAGAUAGGAAUCGUCAUUUCUAACAUUUGUUUUCUGUAUUUUCUCUGCAGCUGGGAUUUUCCAGUGUGUUUUCCUCCUUGGUGGUGGCAUCCGGUGCUGUCUAAGGCAUUACAUUCUCUGUCUCUAUAGCGCCUCUAUGGCAAUGGAGGAAUCCUGUUUCCUGUGUGACGUGACCUUUUCAAUGUGGGUCUUUCACAUUUUAUGCAACUUUUUAAGCUGGCUUAUAAUUCGCUUUAAAUAAACUUUGUAAGUAAGGAUGGAA
This is a long non-coding RNA of Xiphophorus maculatus (southern platyfish), 1393 nucleotides long. RefSeq lists it as uncharacterized. NCBI's taxonomy places the organism in Eukaryota, Metazoa, Chordata, Actinopteri, Cyprinodontiformes, Poeciliidae. The record is from RefSeq and is a predicted model, not a curated record. The transcript has 5 exons.